This 253-nucleotide ribosomal RNA is filed under the name uncultured bacterium. RNAcentral describes it as "partial 16S ribosomal RNA". It matches the Rfam family "Bacterial small subunit ribosomal RNA", at positions 524 to 776 of the family's 1533-position model. The record is from RNAcentral.
UACGUAGGGCGCAAGCGUUAUCCGGAAUUAUUGGGCGUAAAGAGCUCGUAGGCGGUUUGUCGCGUCUGCCGUGAAAGUCCGGGGCUUAACUCCGGAUCUGCGGUGGGUACGGGCAGACUUGAGUGAUGUAGGGGAGACUGGAAUUCCUGGUGUAGCGGUGAAAUGCGCAGAUAUCAGGAGGAACACCGAUGGCGAAGGCAGGUCUCUGGGCAUUAACUGAUGCUGAGGAGCGAAAGCAUGGGGAGCGAACAGG